RNAcentral lists this ribosomal RNA (798 nucleotides) under uncultured bacterium. Its description in RNAcentral is "bacterial SSU rRNA". It matches the Rfam family "Bacterial small subunit ribosomal RNA", at positions 62 to 859 of the family's 1533-position model. The record is from RNAcentral.
UCGACGGCAGCGCGGGGCAACCUGGCGGCGAGUGGCGAACGGCUGAGUAAUAUAUCGGAACGUACCCUGGAGUGGGGGAUAACGUAGCGAAAGUUACGCUAAUACCGCAUACGAUCUAAGGAUGAAAGUGGGGGAUCGCAAGACCUCAUGCUCCUGGAGCGGCCGAUAUCUGAUUAGCUAGUUGGCGGGGUAAAAGCCCACCAAGGCAACGAUCAGUAGCUGGUCUGAGAGGACGACCAGCCACACUGGAACUGAGACACGGUCCAGACUCCUACGGGAGGCAGCAGUGGGGAAUUUUGGACAAUGGGCGCAAGCCUGAUCCAGCAAUGCCGCGUGAGUGAAGAAGGCCUUCGGGUUGUAAAGCUCUUUUGUCAGGGAAGAAACGGUGGGGGCUAAUAUCCCCCGCUAAUGACGGUACCUGAAGAAUAAGCACCGGCUAACUACGUGCCAGCAGCCGCGGUAAUACGUAGGGUGCUAGCGUUAAUCGGAAUUACUGGGCGUAAAGCGUGCGCAGGCGGUUUUGUAAGUCUGUCGUGAAAUCCCCGGGCUCAACCUGGGAAUUGCGAUGGAGACUGCAAGGCUAGAAUCUGGCAGAGGGGGGUAGAAUUCCACGUGUAGCAGUGAAAUGCGUAGAUAUGUGGAGGAACACCGAUGGCGAAGGCAGCCCCCUGGGUCAAGAUUGACGCUCAUGCACGAAAGCGUGGGGAGCAAACAGGAUUAGAUACCCUGGUAGUCCACGCUGUAAACGAUGAAUACUAGGUGUUGGAUACAUUAGUAUCCAGUGCCGCAGCUAACGCA